AUCUAUCGCCAUACCGCCCUGAAUGCACCCCAUCUCAUCUGAUCUCGGAAGCUAAGCAGGGUCGCGCCUGGUUAGUACUUGGGAUGGGAGACUGCCUGGGAAUACCAGGUGCUAUAGGCU
This 120-nucleotide ribosomal RNA is filed under the name Microtus ochrogaster (prairie vole). Lineage: Eukaryota; Metazoa; Chordata; Mammalia; Rodentia; Cricetidae. The record is from RNAcentral.